This is a non-coding RNA of Pelobates cultripes (western spadefoot toad), 1270 nucleotides long. NCBI's taxonomy places the organism in Eukaryota, Metazoa, Chordata, Amphibia, Anura, Pelobatidae. The record is from the annotation of a GenBank genome assembly.
CGGGAAUAGAAUUCUAGGCCUAGUGGAUCACAACUGCUGGACGUGCGGUUACAUCAUGGGAGCUUAAUAAUAUAUUUCUGUAUGUGCACCGUUUCAUGCUGAAAUGCUGCACAUACAGAACCUUGCCCCGUCUAAACAUCUGAAGUGGACAUGGUGCUUUUAGUAACCCAUGCCAAUAAUAUAACACAUGAUUAAAUCUUCCUAAGGAAAACAUACCUAUCUGGCAAUAAAUGAGGGAAUUGCAACUUUUAGGAAAAUAUUUGGACUAAUAUGUACAGUUUCCGUGUCAGUUCUCCACAUGAUUAGUGAAUAAGUUCACACUUGGGGACCUUUAGAUUGUAGACACAAUUUGGGAAAUUAAGUGUUCUGUUCUAAAAUGUGGUGUAAAAGUGGAAACCAGUGGGACCAGCAGGCACAUUGCAUUGGUGCCUCCCCUCCCCCCCCCCCAGAUCAUUGAAGUAGUCUGGGUGCAGUGGCCCAGUCCCCCUUCAUCCUGCAAUGUAAAUCAUUGCAGUUUUUGAGAAACUGCAAUAAUUACAUUGCUGUACUAAGACUCCCUCUUGAGCUAGUCAAUCAGAAUGCCACUACAGGCACUUCCUCUUUGCUAGCCAGCUUUUGGUCUCCUGACACUGGACGUCCUCACACUCUGCACAAGGACAUCUAGCAUCUGUUAAAUCCCCAUAGGAAAGCACUGAAGCAAUGUAAGCAUGUCAUACAGACUCCAACUUAUUUUAUUUAAAAGGAGACUGAUCAUUGGUCUUCUCUGGUAAUAUUGGAGUCAUGAAGACACCCAACAUGCAUUUGUGUUAAGUGUUUGAAGGAGGUUUAUGAUGACAGCCAGCACAUUUUUUUCCAGAAAUGUUGUCCUGGUGUGUUGUAUAUUACACAGUAUACUGCCCAUUGGAGGAAAUGUAUAAGUAUAAAGUACAGGCCAAUGAAAAGCAUAAGAUGUAACCACAGGUUUUACAGGACAUAUUGAUUAUAUAUUAAAAGAAGUGUUGUGUUCUAAAAACUGAUCUAAAGUGCUAAAGUUGGGCAGUCACCAUGGAUACCAGUGGAACCAGCAGGCACAUUGCAUUGAUGACUCCUCCCCUUUCACGUGUUUGGCUCACCUUUUAGAACACACUUUUUAUACAUAACCUUUAUUGAGUUCCUAGGGUUUCUGACAAUAAGCACUGACAUGCAGUAAUUCCACAGAACAAGGAAGCGAUCUUUGUGAAGACUAUAUGGAUGUACAGGAAUAACUGUAAUGAUUGGGGCUGUAAUGACU